RNAcentral lists this ribosomal RNA (1358 nucleotides) under Rhodococcus sp. EPR-134. Its description in RNAcentral is "bacterial LSU rRNA". It matches the Rfam family "Bacterial large subunit ribosomal RNA", at positions 1 to 1242 of the family's 2925-position model. Lineage: Bacteria; Bacillati; Actinomycetota; Actinomycetes; Mycobacteriales; Nocardiaceae. The record is from RNAcentral.
ACAGUGGACGCGAGCAUCUUUGUUGUAAGUAAUGAAGAGCGUACGGUGGAUGCCUUGGCACCAGGAGCCGAUGAAGGACGUAGGAGGCUGCGAUAAGCCUCGGGGAGCUGUCAACCGAGCUGUGAUCCGAGGAUGUCCGAAUGGGGAAACCCAGCACGAGUGAUGUCGUGUUACCCGCGCCUGAAUAUAUAGGGCGUGUGGAGGGAACGUGGGGAAGUGAAACAUCUCAGUACCCACAGGAAGAGAAAACAACCGUGAUUCCGUGAGUAGUGGCGAGCGAAAGCGGAAGAGGCUAAACCAUGGGUGUGUGAUAGCCGGCAGGUGUUGCAUUCGUGGGGUUGUGGGGUUCAUUUUGUCAAUACUGCCGUGUUGGCCAACAGUAAGAAAUCACAGGGUUAGUGGAAGUGGUCUGGAACGGCCUGUCGUAGAGGGUGAGAAUCCCGUACACGAAAACUUUGUGACUGUUGUAAUGGAAACCCAAGUAGCACCGGGCCCGUGAAAUCUGGUGUGAAUCUGUCGGGACCACCCGAUAAGCCUGAAUACUCCCUGGUGACCGAUAGCGGACUAGUACCGUGAGGGAAAGGUGAAAAGUACCCCGGGAGGGGAGUGAAAUAGUACCUGAAACCGUGCGCUUACAAUCCGUCAGAGCCUUCGAGCAGUUUACUGCUGGGGGUGAUGGCGUGCCUUUUGAAGAAUGAGCCUGCGAGUUAGUGGCAUGUCGCGAGGUUAACCCGUGUGGGGUAGCCGUAGCGAAAGCGAGUCCGAAUAGGGCGAGUCAGUGGCAUGCUCUAGACCCGAAGCGGAGUGAUCUACCCAUGGCCAGGUUGAAGCGACGGUAAGACGUCGUGGAGGACCGAACCCACUUAGGUUGAAAACUGAGGGGAUGAGUUGUGGGUAGGGGUGAAAGGCCAAUCAAACUCCGUGAUAGCUGGUUCUCCCCGAAAUGCAUUUAGGUGCAGCGUCGCGUGUUUCUCACCGGAGGUAGAGCUACUGGAUGGUCUAGGGGGCCCACAAGCUUACCGAAAUCAGCCAAACUCCGAAUGCCGGUGAGUGAGAGCGCGGCAGUGAGACUGCGGGCGAUAAGGUUCGUAGUCGAGAGGGAAACAGCCCAGAUCGCCAGCUAAGGUCCCUAAGCGUGUACUAAGUGGAAAAGGAUGUGGGGUCGCGAAGACAACCAGGAGGUUGGCUUAGAAGCAGCCACCCUUGAAAGAGUGCGUAAUAGCUCACUGGUCAAGUGAUCCUGCGCCGACAAUGUAGCGGGGCUCAAGUACACCACCGAAGCUGCGGCAUUCACGCAAUAGCCCCCAGUUGAUCCACGGAUUUUCUGGCAGGUGUGUGGAUGGGUAGGGGAGCGUCGU